Ctenopharyngodon idella (grass carp) is the source of this 4101-nucleotide long non-coding RNA. RefSeq lists it as uncharacterized. The transcript has 2 exons. NCBI's taxonomy places the organism in Eukaryota, Metazoa, Chordata, Actinopteri, Cypriniformes, Xenocyprididae. The record is from RefSeq and is a predicted model, not a curated record.
UGCUCCUAACAGAGGGGAUUUUUCAAAGUGCUGAUACACACAGUGGCUGUCUAACUCAUUACAGCAAACAUGAGUCUUCACGUUCACACCGCAGUCUUGCUCGUUCUGAUGAGCUUUGUUUCAACUAGCCACUGGCACAUUGGAAUCAAUUCAUCAAAAGCUUAAGCAGCUAAUGAACUGAAACAUGGUGGAAAUGAGAGAAUUCAAGGCAAAAAGAAUGGAUUCGAAUAUUAUAGGGCAGAGGUCCUGUAUACCGUUUCUGAUUUUGAGGAAAAUAAUGGUGGAGAAUUCCCUCUCGGUAUGGCUGCUGCUUCCUCAUUCCAAGUUUAUUUUCAGGAGGCAAGUUAUUUCUUUGUUAUCAGUUUCCGGAGAGAAUAAAAUAUGUGCAUAUUUACCACUGUGAGACCUCUGCAGUCAAGCUAGCCGCCUCAGUACUGGUGCACAAGAACAUACAACCCACAUUACUUUGUGUUUACACCAGUGGUCAAAGAUUUGAACAAAACAAACAUAUACAUACAGUACAGCUGCAUUUACAUACACCCACAUCUUUAAAUAUAUAUUCUCACAUAUGUUUUAAUGCAAAACGUUUCCAUGCAAAGCUAGAAACCCAUUUCAUGUCAAGUCAGGUCAAGUCAUCUUCAUUUAUAUAGCUCUUUUUACCAUACAGAUUGAUUCAAAGCACCUUCACAGUGAUAAUAGGAAAAUUAAUGGACAGAGAUUGUUUUGGCUUUACAGCAGCUCUAGAAAAAAAGUUAUUAUCGAGCUAAAGUAGUUUUUUUGAUUGAAUCACUUCCGUCAUAAGUUAAAGAGAAUGAAUGACAUUUUAUUGGCUCAGCCACACACCUCCACACUUACUAUCUACAUCCUCCUUAUAACCUCCUCCACUGCAUACAUACAAUGCCAGUGUAUUAUUCAUGUUUUGCACGCAGAAAUGGAGCCUCACCAGAGGGGGUUAAGUAAAUAGAUGAGCCUGACGUGUGACCUCCCUUGACUUAUGCACACUUCUCCCGCAAUAUGGAACCGCCUUGGCAGGAUACAGAUUUACAUUGAGCUCCAGCGUAUCCAGGCCGCUACGCUACGCUGCACGCACAAAGAGAAAAACAUGAAAAGCUCAGCAGAGCCGGGUAAUGAAAGAUUAUAUGAAAGAUUAGAGGACUAGCUUUACCAUCUCAGAUUUGCUCAACCUUUACAAGCUCUGAUGUCUCCAUAACUAUAUUGGAGAGGAUAAUGGUAUGAUAGGCAUCAUCUCCAUCAUCAACACCAAGCGAAGCAUGGCGGAGAACAAUAAUCAGUCCGGUCACGUUAAUAUCCUCCAUUCGGAAGCAAUUGUAAAUGUUUAUGGGGUUUAAAGAAUAAUUAUGAUGCCACUUCAUGUUAUUAAAACUUGAGAUGUCACAUCGUGGAAUCGGCUUCCCACAAACAUGGGUGUUUAAUAUGAUAAUAUGAUUUUAACAGCAGCGUCUUGCAGAUACCAAUGACACAAACAACAUUUUAUUUAAUUAGCACCUUUCUACAACAAAAUUAAAGUGUCUUAAAACAGUAUCCUUUUGCAAUUUCAUAUGCAUCAAACCUCAUUUGAAUAUUCAAGGAAUGGUACACGGUUACUUUAUUUACAUAUUUCUUUCGCACACAGAUUAUACAUUCCGAGUUAAAAAUGUUAUGGAAUACACUGCAAGUGCUUCCAAGUUCCCCCAUUAAGAAGAGGCACAUCUCAGAGCUGUACAUUACCUCAUGUGUCUCCACAGAAAGAGCCCAUCAACUGCGUUCCAGCAGGAAAAAACAGCUUUUAUCGGCCUCAGCCCCUCUGUGGAUUUGUGCCGUGAUGAACUUGAUGGAACAGCGAGGCUGAUGGCUGCUACUUUCCACAUCCAAACCCAAUAGAUACGGGGAGAGUGAUGCACUUCAAUGUGUAUUCAGCCCCAUUAUCAGGCCUGUAAUCACACUUAUUUUUUCCCUAAUGGAGUUUUGGUCGACUCUGUGAGAUUGUUCUUUCUUUCAGGUCGAUGGGAAUACAUCAUGCUCAUAUUCUGGGUGAUAUUGAUCUAGGACUAGUCAAUAAUGCCUUUUGGGAGAUAAACAACAAACCAUACCAACACAUGCAGGAAACUGAUAUGUUUGUUAAAAGGGGAGACUCUAUAAGGGAGGCUACAUCCAAACCCUUUGAUAAAUAAUUAAAUGCAAGCAUAAUCCAAACAGUAAUAUAUGGAUAAACUAUAAAAAAGGCAUCUUAAGUGUGUUAUUUUCAGAAGACAUCAAUAUUAAUCGGAAAGCUCUCCGAUAAAAAAUUGAGUUGAUGCAUUGUUGUUGCAUCAUAUAUUACAUCUUGUAUAGCAAACAGUAUCUUAUACUAUAUGAAGAAAUGAUCUCAGUACUCCUCAGAUCAAAAACUGUGUGAAAAUCAAAGCCUGGAGAGCUAUAUAACUACUUUAAAGAAGCCAUAAAUCAUAAAUCAUCAAUCAUCAAUGUUUAGACAGUUUUAUUUAUUUAUUUUUUGCUAGGAAGGAAGUUAAGGGGUACAGUUCGUCUGUGCUCAUCCAUCUGGAGGCUUUGGACCAUAUGACAGCACACAUGGACCAACUUCUCUCGUGAUGAGCUGAUGUCUUAAAUCGGCAAAACUGAAUUCAUACUCAAAUAACUCUAUACCAGCAAGUCAAAGGAAAGAUAAAAGAAGGGUAUUUCAAAAAUAUUUUUCAAGACAUGUAAUGCUAUAAAGUGAAUGGAGGGGAACAAAUGGUCUAUACUUGCUUCAUUCUGAUUGGUCAUCGUUGCAUUUUGAGUUAAAAUCAAGACUCUUUCGCUUGGCAGAACACCCUGUUGGGGUUUAUAUUGCAAUGAUGACUGGAUGACUGUGCAUUAUCUCUUAUUCAAUACUGCUGAAAUAUCAUUUUCAAGAAAGAGUUUCAUCUUUGCCAGAAAAUCUCUUGCCUGAACUUUCAAGAAAUCAUAUUUUCCCCACCUCAGGCAAAAUAAUAUCAGAGCUGUAAACGCUGUAUAAAUUCGGGACCACCAUAGUGGGAUGUGCUUAUCGAUUCUUACACUCCAAUAAUAAAUAUUUACAGUAGUUAGGGCUAUGUCGUUACUAACCAUAAAUAACUAUUUAACCCCGUCACAGUAAAUUUGGAAUUGAAAUGCUUAAAAUUAGAAUAGAUAAUUAAACUGAAAUGGACAAGUAUAAGUAAAUUCUGGAAGCAUUACUCUAUUUUGAUGUGCCUUGAAAAGAACCACAUUUUAAUUUAACAAAAAAUAAAAAUAUUUGUAAUCCAUGGCCUUUCUUUUACAAAACAUAUUUUGUGCCAACAAAUGUUUCAGGGGUGAAGGUACUAGUAAUGCUUUUAACUAGCAAAUAACACAGCACUACGCCACAUUAUUUACAGCCAAUAUUCUUGUUUUGAGCCAAAAACAAUAUUUUAUCUGUUAAAAAACUAGGCUCAUCUUGACUAGGCUCAUUUAAUUGUAAACCUGAAAUAAUAAAUACUGUUAGAGAAACACCUGUUUGUACCAAAUUUUAUGAUGUCAGUUCCUUAAAUUUAAACUUAAGUUUCAAAAUCCUUUUAAAUAUAUAAGCAAUAUCACACGAGUAGCCGAGCGAUAUCGCUCUGUGUUGGCCAUAUCUAUAAAAGCCAUAUCGCAUGGCUAUGGGUGUGAUAUUGCAUUUAUACAACAGUCUGGCGAGUGUGUAAAUAAAUAAAAAACAACAACGUCUUUAAAAACUCUCUUUUGUGAGGAACUACUUCCUUCCGCCACAGAUUCAAAUCUCAAAUUUACAGUUUAACAGUUGAGCCCAAGCCUCCGUUACUAAUUCUAAAAUGUCACUUUAGAGCUAGUAACAAAGGAACAUUGAGUCUUAUGUAGAGUAUUAUGAGAGAGAUCGACUUUAAACGAGUGUAUUACCUGCAUCUGAUAUUCUUCAGGUAAAUCUUAUAUUCAGUUUGAAUGUCCGCUUUGUCUUUGUCCUUUUAACAUUUCAAUGGAUUUCCCAUGAUUUUCCUAUAAUUUUGUGGUUAGGAUUGAUACUUUUGUUACUUUUGCUGUUUGCUGUAUUUUUGCCACUGUUUGCACCAUUAGAGUAUGAAUAAAUACAGAAUGUGUUUACAUUUCAAA